Molecule: long non-coding RNA, 2037 nt
Organism: Pezoporus occidentalis (night parrot)
Lineage: Eukaryota; Metazoa; Chordata; Aves; Psittaciformes; Psittacidae
Exons: 2
Source: RefSeq, a predicted model, not a curated record
AAAGAAUUUCCUUCUUACAUCCAAUCUAAACUUCCCCUGUUUCAGUUUUAACCCAUUACUCCAUUACAGCUCCCGUUCUUGCCCAAGGAACAAACCUGUUUGAGAUGUGAAUGUCUGUUCCCCAGGGGCAGGAGAGAGCCCUGACUCCCGGGCCCAGGGGUGAGCACACGGCAUGGUGCCCUUCCAGAGGCUCAUUGCUGGUAUGGAAUCCGGAGCAGGCUGUAGGUAAAGCUGCUCCUGAUGGGCUGUAGAUACUGCAGCAGUAUUGGAGCCACUGGCAGUAAACUGGAGACAAAACCCAGGAGUUAGGGAAAAGUCUGUAAAAUCCCAUCAUGGUCAUUUUGUCCCUUCCCAAACCCUUUGGGGGAUUUACUGCACAUGACUGGCCCCUGUGCAGUGAUGCUGGUGGUGGUCAGGGUGGGCUCCUGGCUCUUCAUUGGUGCCAUUGGUGGCUCCCUAUGUGCAUGUCGGGAUUGUCUGAGAGAUGCUGGGGUGGAACAGAGCUGCUGGGCAGUGGGGAUAAAUGGAAAGAAUAGGAAGUGACUGCGCUGGGCACUGGGAAGCACAGACUGGUCCCAUGUGGAAAGUGUGUGGCUGUUUGGAACUGAAUGGAGGGGUGCUGGGCACUGCUUGGUCACCACUGCCUGCAGAGGGAGAAACAGGAUAGCAAGUGUCAAUCUAAUGCUGCCUAGGGCAGGGUGCAGGUAGAACACCUCCUGAGCUCCAGCCCUGUCUGCUGGGAUGGGUUCUCUGUGCUUCUGCCUCCUCAGCAGAGAGUAAACCAGGAGCAUGGGGGUUCUUUAGGAAUUUACCCCAAAGAGCUGGUGGUUCCUUGGAGCACCAGGGGUGAGUGUGCUGGUGCUCAAGCCUCUCCUGUGGACCUUUGUGUUGCCACAAGCAGCCAUGUAGCUCCUGAACAUUCAGUUCCUAAAAGUGAGCGUAGUUGUUCCAAAUGAUGUGUGUUGGAAGUAAACGUUAACUAGUAUUAAUAUUAAUUAACUGUUAUGUUUGUUUUGUACUGUGGUGGGACAUCAGUCACGCAGUUUCUCACAGCUCAAGGUCUCCUAAGACCAACAAUCGAGGACACGUGGUGGAGUGACCACAGAUCCACUGAAUCCCAGGGGAUCUCUAAAGGACAGGCUUUUUGAGCAAAGGAGCAGGUGCCAUGGAAGCCCUGGCCAGCUGUGUGCACAUCUGGAGCAAGGUCUGGCAGAGGUGGUGGUAUAAGGAGUGCCCAAGGCGCUGUGCCCUCCGGAAUAAGCGCACUGCAAGGUUUCAUUUUGAAAAUGCUUUAAUAAGGAAGUGUUGACAACACCGUUCUGCAAAAUGUAAAGGUAACUAUACAAAUUCUUAAUACAAAAAGAAUAAAUUAAAAGCAGAUCUGUUUUAAUUCUGCAACUUUUUCUACAACAUCCAUAUCUUUUUGCCUUGAUUACAGUUGAACAGAAUCCAGUCAAAUCAUUUUCCAUGCUCUAAAGUCAAUUUUAGGAGAGACCUAAUGUUUUUUUUCCUUAUUUUUCCUUCUUUUUUAUUUUUUUUUAAACUAGAGAGUCCAUUUUACACAACUCGUAAUAAAACUAUUGACAUUAAUAUAUAUGUAAAACUUUACAUCUAGUUAACUAAGCAGUAACUGGUCAUCUGAUAGCACCUGAAUGGGUAUCGGCUAUGCCUGAAACUAAAACUAAUACAGAGUGAAAACAAAUGGGACUGUUUCAACAUCUUCAACACUCGACUGCAUAUAGGAUGAUGGCAAAAUAAACCCUGCCUCCCUCCAGCACGGCCCAGUGCGGGAUUAGCUCCCGGCUGAGCAUCAGACACGUAGACUCGGAACGCGAUUGUGGCUUUAUGUCGGAUGGAGCCUUGGAAAACAAAAAAGGACAGGAGGGGUUAAGUUGGUAGUCAAGUGCUUGUCUAUAAUAGCUAUGUAUAUACCCCUCCGCGUUAUACUUAAAUAUGUUAAUCUCAUCUGAUUAACAUUUUAUGUACAUUUGUGUUUUAAUUGAAUUGAGCUAAACAGUAAAACCUGUUUUACUUUAA